RNAcentral lists this long non-coding RNA (312 nucleotides) under Homo sapiens (human). RNAcentral's name for it is "non-protein coding lnc-OAZ3-7:1". Lineage: Eukaryota; Metazoa; Chordata; Mammalia; Primates; Hominidae. The record is from RNAcentral.
AAAAGUUCCUGUCUUGCAGACUGCCCCUUGCCUUUGGCUAGCAGAAACAGGCUUUUGUUGGAGCUUUUCUUUUUCUUUUUGGUCUGUGCCCAUUGACAUUUCCUGGUUGCUGGUUUCUUCAGCUCCAAGUGUGGAAUAAAUGAAGCAAAAGGAAAACUCGGAGAACUCACCACUGUGGUGUUUCUUGGGUCUUGAGGUUUCUAUCCAGUCUGCUUUCUUUUCUCCACCUUUCAAAGUCUUCUUACGUUUAAUAAAUAAUUUCCAGGGUUUAUGGUUGUUCUAGGAGUGGUCAAAGUACAUUACCCCAACCUC